UGGGGAAUUUUGGACAAUGGGCGCAAGCCUGAUCCAGCCAUGCCGCGUGUCUGAAGAAGGCCUUCGGGUUGUAAAGGACUUUUGUCAGGGAAGAAAAGGAUAGGGUUAAUACCCCUGUCUGAUGACGGUACCUGAAGAAUAAGCACCGGCUAACUACGUGCCAGCAGCCGCGGUAAUACGUAGGGUGCGAGCGUUAAUCGGAAUUACUGGGCGUAAAGCGGGCGCAGACGGUUACUUAAGCAGGAUGUGAAAUCCCCGGGCUCAACCUGGGAACUGCGUUCUGAACUGGGUGACUAGAGUGUGUCAGAGGGAGGUAGAAUUCCACGUGUAGCAGUGAAAUGCGUAGAGAUGUGGAGGAAUACCGAUGGCGAAGGCAGCCUCCUGGGAUAACACUGACGUUCAUGCCCGAAAGCGUGGGUAGCAAAUGAGGAUUAGAUACCCUGGUAGUCCACGCCCUAAACGAUGUCGAUUAGCUGUUGGGCAGCUUGACUGCUUAGUAGCGAAGCUAACGCGUGAAAUCGACCGCCUGGGGAGUACGGUCGCAAGAUUA
This 550-nucleotide ribosomal RNA is filed under the name uncultured bacterium. RNAcentral describes it as "bacterial SSU rRNA". It matches the Rfam family "Bacterial small subunit ribosomal RNA", at positions 355 to 896 of the family's 1533-position model. The record is from RNAcentral.